GAAGACAAAAAAUUGGAAUAGGAAAAAUGUUGAUUGCAUAUGUUGCUAUUGAAACUGUGAAGUCAAAUAAGCAUGGCUUAUGCAGACAUGUGAUAGAGAUAUUGGAAGAA
Non-coding RNA from Hydra vulgaris (swiftwater hydra), 110 nucleotides. The record is from RefSeq and is a predicted model, not a curated record. NCBI's taxonomy places the organism in Eukaryota, Metazoa, Cnidaria, Hydrozoa, Anthoathecata, Hydridae.